Molecule: non-coding RNA, 520 nt
Organism: Misgurnus anguillicaudatus (oriental weatherfish)
Lineage: Eukaryota; Metazoa; Chordata; Actinopteri; Cypriniformes; Cobitidae
Source: RefSeq, a predicted model, not a curated record
CACUAGGGAUGUAACGGUAUUAUAAAUUUCGUGGUAUUGCGGUAGAAGAUUUUCCCGGUACCACCGUGGUCACAUGAUCGGUAAAACGUUAGGUCUUCCGGGCAACACGUGUAGUUUUUUUCCGGUCAAGUAAAGCGAGUGGAGGGACGCGGGAACUACAAUUCCCAUAAUCCCAUGCGUGCUACUCUGACGCCUCCUCUCUACAAGCGGCAAUGGCGGAAGCAAAAGAAACACGGACUUUAAAUCUGAUGUGUCGAAAAAGUUCGCGUUCGCUGUGACAAGAAACGAGGAAGGACAAAAUGUGAUGGACAUUCAAAAAACGAGAAUUGACCCAUCUUAAAACCCAUCAUCUUUUCUUGAUUCUACAAUCACAACCGUUGCUUUCAUAGGAGUACCAAGCAUUAGCAUUAAUAUUAAUAAUAAUAAAAACUAGGUCAAUUGAGGGAGUCACUCAAUUCUUAAAACCUGACUGAUUGGGAGUUGUUUAAAGUCGACAAACUAAAAUGAAACUUAAUUUUUC